This 551-nucleotide ribosomal RNA is filed under the name uncultured Planctomycetota bacterium. RNAcentral's name for it is "bacterial SSU rRNA". It matches the Rfam family "Bacterial small subunit ribosomal RNA", at positions 365 to 909 of the family's 1533-position model. The record is from RNAcentral. Lineage: Bacteria; Pseudomonadati; Planctomycetota.
UCCGCAAUGGGCGAAAGCCUGACGGAGCGACGCCGCGUGCGGGAUGAAGGCCUUCGGGUUGUAAACCGCUGUCAGUUGGGAGGAAAUCUAUGGGGGUUCUCCCCCAUAGUUGACCUAUCUUCAGAGGAAGGACGGGCUAAGUUCGUGCCAGCAGCCGCGGUAAGACGAACCGUCCAAACGUUAUUCGGAAUCACUGGUCUUAAAGGGUGCGUAGGAAAACAAAACAAGUUGGGUGUGAAAUCCCUCGGCUCAGCCGAGGAACUGCGCUCAAAACUGCCAAGCUAGAGGAAGAUAGAGGUGAGCGGAACUAAUGGUGGAGCGGUGAAAUGCGUUGAUAUCAUUAGGAACACCUGUGGCGAAAGCGGCUCACUGGGUCUUUUCUGACGCUGAGGCACGAAAGCUAGGGUAGCGAACGGGAUUAGAUACCCCGGUAGUCCUAGCUGUAAACGAUGAGCACUAGGUUGGAGGCUCCUCCAUAGGUUUCCGACCGAAGCGAAAGUGUUAAGUGCUCCGCCUGGGGAGUUUUGUCGCGAGGCUGAAACUCAAAGGAA